This 67-nucleotide transfer RNA is filed under the name Protochauliodes biconicus. RNAcentral describes it as "tRNA-Ser". The record is from RNAcentral. Lineage: Eukaryota; Metazoa; Arthropoda; Insecta; Megaloptera; Corydalidae.
AAUUAAUGAACUUGAAUAAGUUUAUGUUUUGAAAACAUAAUAAAGAAGGAAAAUCUUCUAUUAAUUU